This 450-nucleotide ribosomal RNA is filed under the name uncultured bacterium. RNAcentral's name for it is "partial 16S ribosomal RNA". It matches the Rfam family "Bacterial small subunit ribosomal RNA", at positions 354 to 796 of the family's 1533-position model. The record is from RNAcentral.
GUAGGGAAUAUUGGACAAUGGGCGGAAGCCUGAUCCAGCCAUUCCGCGUGCAGGAUGAAGGCCUUCGGGUUGUAAACUGCUUUUGUACGGAACGAAAAGCCUCUGGUUAAUACCCGGGGGUCAUGACGGUACCGUAAGAAUAAGCACCGGCUAACUACGUGCCAGCAGCCGCGGUAAUACGUAGGGUGCGAGCGUUAAUCGGAAUUACUGGGCGUAAAGCGUGCGCAGGCGGUGAUGUAAGACAGUUGUGAAAUCCCCGGGCUCAACCUGGGAACUGCAGCUGUGACUGCAUUGCUGGAGUGCGGCAGAGGGGGAUGGAAUUCCGCGUGUAGCAGUGAAAUGCGUAGAUAUGCGGAGGAACACCGAUGGCGAAGGCAAUCCCCUGGGCCUGCACUGACGCUCAUGCACGAAAGCGUGGGGAGCAAACAGGAUUAGAAACCCGGGUAGUCC